This is a long non-coding RNA of Alligator sinensis (Chinese alligator), 1036 nucleotides long. RefSeq lists it as uncharacterized. The record is from RefSeq and is a predicted model, not a curated record. The transcript is spliced from 2 exons. Lineage: Eukaryota; Metazoa; Chordata; Crocodylia; Alligatoridae.
UGUUGCUUGGCUGGAGGGCUGCUGAGAACAACCUGGAGGUGCAGGGAAGGAGGGCCGGCUACAAAGGAAGUGCUCCUGUCAUACCAAUUCCUUCAGGAUGACAUGCACUUCUGGGUUCACCCCAAGGCUUGGAUUAUGCCUCGGGUUAUCACGAGAGGUAACCCAUAUCAUCUCUUCUCACUAACGUGUAUACAAUCCAGCCUUUCUUUACAACAACAAUCCAUAGAAAAAACAUCUGGGGUUGCAAACUGACAAAUGACAGCAAGGGAAGAGGAGAGCGCCCAUUGGAUCUUCAAGAGAAAUUUAAAGUAGCCUAUUUACAGAAGGAUCACAGCCGAAACGGCAGCUACCAGGGCCAGUGAUGCUGACUGGGUUUGCAAUCCCACUGCAUGAAGCUCACUUCCCAAGAGGAGCUCCCACAUGUCCUGGGGUGUCCCUUCACUUGUUUGGGACCAAUGAGGAGGAGAUGUACCACUGCUCAGGACAGGUCAGGAUGUGUUGUUCCUUAGGGCAGACUGGCAGUUUACUUGCCAUCAUACCAUUUGCCUAUCCUGCCCUCCCCCUUUCAGUUCCCAGCACCAAGAUGCCCAGAAGGAACGCCUGUACAACCAAACACUGAAACCAGGGAUGAACAUUUGAGGACUCAUGUCCUGGCAGUGUUAUUCAAAUUGCCAAUUACGCAAAUCAUGAACAAGACUGUAUAAGGGGAAAUAAGGCAAAGUUUGAGUAGACGCUUAAUACACACACCACAUUCAUUCCCCGAUUUCUGUUUUGUGCUGGUAUAUGCUACCAGUCUUAUUGGUGUUCGGGUCAACUUAGUGGCCAGCUAAAUUGAUCACGAGUAGAAGCCAGGCUCCUGCUGGUCCCUCUCAUCAAAUGAACUGAUGCUUCAGGAUGAUAUGCAGAACAAGACCCAACAUUGAUAUGUCUAGCAUCAUCUUUUAAAGCCUUGUAAAUUCACCCAGUCCUCUGGGCUUUUGCUGGGUUAUCACUGUGUUCUUGAAGGUCAAUUGCCAUUGUUCUCUCGCUAUUCUGG